This 405-nucleotide ribosomal RNA is filed under the name uncultured bacterium. RNAcentral describes it as "bacterial SSU rRNA". It matches the Rfam family "Bacterial small subunit ribosomal RNA", at positions 355 to 774 of the family's 1533-position model. The record is from RNAcentral.
UGGGGAAUAUUGCGCAAUGGGGGCAACCCUGACGCAGCAACGCCGCGUGAUUGAUGAAGGUCUUCGGAUUGUAAAAAUCUUUAAUCAGGGACGAAACAAAUGACGGUACCUGAAGAAUAAGCUCCGGCUAACUACGUGCCAGCAGCCGCGGUAAUACGUAGGGAGCAAGCGUUAUCCGGAUUUACUGGGUGUAAAGGGCGUGUAGGCGGGCUUGUAAGUUGGAAGUGAAAUCUCGGGGCUUAACCCCGAAACUGCUUUCAAAACUGCGAGUCUUGAGUGAUGGAGAGGCAGGCGGAAUUCCCAGUGUAGCGGUGAAAUGCGUAGAUAUUGGGAGGAACACCAGUGGCGAAGGCGGCCUGCUGGACAUUAACUGACGCUGAGGCGCGAAAGCGUGGGGAGCAAACA